Molecule: ribosomal RNA, 252 nt
Filed under: uncultured Bacteroidales bacterium
Lineage: Bacteria; Pseudomonadati; Bacteroidota; Bacteroidia; Bacteroidales
Description: partial 16S ribosomal RNA
Rfam family: Bacterial small subunit ribosomal RNA
Source: RNAcentral
UACGGAGGAUGCGAGCGUUAUCCGGAUUUAUUGGGUUUAAAGGGUGCGUAGGCGGUUUGAUAAGUUAGAGGUGAAAUGUCGGGGCUCAACCCCGACAAGCCGUUGAAACUGGCUUGCUAGAGUGGGCGAGAAGUAUGCGGAAUGCGUGGUGUAGCGGUGAAAUGCAUAGAUAUCACGCAGAACUCCGAUUGCGAAGGCAGCAUGCCGGCUCCACACUGACGCUGAGGCACGAAAGCGUGGGUAUCGAACAGG